AGUGAACGCUGGCGGUAGGCCUAACACAUGCAAGUCGAACGGCAGCACAGUAAGAGCUUGCUCUUACGGGUGGCGAGUGGCGGACGGGUGAGGAAUACAUCUGAAUCUACUUUUUCGUGGGGGAUAACGUAGGGAAACUUACGCUAAUACCGCAUACGACCUACGGGUGAAAGCAGGGGAUCUUCGGACCUUGCGCGAUUGAAUGAGCCGAUGUCGGAUUAGCUAGUUGGCGGGGUAAAGGCCCACCAAGGCGACGAUCCGUAGCUGGUCUGAGAGGAUGAUCAGCCACACUGGAACUGAGACACGGUCCAGACUCCUACGGGAGGCAGCAGUGGGGAAUAUUGGGCAAUGGGCGCAAGCCUGAUCCAGCCAUACCGCGUGGGUGAAGAAGGCCUUCGGGUUGUAAAGCCCUUUUGUUGGGAAAGAAAAGCAGCAGGUUAAUACCCCGCUGUUCUGACGGUACCCAAAGAAUAAGCACCGGCUAACUUCGUG
RNAcentral lists this ribosomal RNA (492 nucleotides) under uncultured bacterium. Its description in RNAcentral is "partial 16S ribosomal RNA". It matches the Rfam family "Bacterial small subunit ribosomal RNA", at positions 29 to 507 of the family's 1533-position model. The record is from RNAcentral.